This 67-nucleotide transfer RNA is filed under the name Ochetellus glaber. Its description in RNAcentral is "tRNA-Asp". Lineage: Eukaryota; Metazoa; Arthropoda; Insecta; Hymenoptera; Formicidae. The record is from RNAcentral.
AAAAAAUUAGUUAAAUUUAUAACAUUAAAUUGUCAAUUUAAAAUUAUUAUUCAAAUAAUAUUUUUUU